UCUAGCGAUAUCAUUUUCCAGAAACUUCAAAAAAAAAAAAGGAAGAGAGGGGGUGGAACCCCUUCCCUCACCCGCGUCCCUUCUCUCUCUCUCCUUCAACUCAGCUCAUCUCCUUUUUCUCUUUGCCAACGAUCCUCGCCGUGGAUCCCUCCUCACCAACACCCUUAUUGUUGUUGUUUGAUGUUGUUGUUGUUGCCCUGCUCCUCUUUCCCGUUGUAUCCCCUCCCUCUGCUGCUUCUCUCUCUCUCUCGUCCUCCCCUCGUGCUACCGCCGCCGCCACCAACGGUGGUCUUGGAUUGCUCCUAGUUGCUUCAAUUGCAUGGUAACUUCCUAUGCUCUUUCCAUUAAUUGAAUGAUCUAUUCUAAUCGAAAAUCUAAAACUCCAACCAAUCUAUUUCAAUUUUCUCUUCCACCUCGGCGUGCGCCGCCCUUCUGGUUGCCUUCGUCGCCGCCCUUGUUGUGGUUGUGAUGUUGUCACGGUGUUCUACACCUCUUCCUUGUUGCUUCCUCUGUCGUCCUCUGUCUCCUCUCCUCCGUGGGCCGAGCUGGUGGCUUGUCGGAAUUGCUGAUGUUGUUGAUUUCCUGUUGCUUACCUUCCUGCGUCACUAUAGGGUGGAUUGAUUGGAGAGCAAUUAAAGUGAUUGAAUGGUGAAGCAUAAACGGAGAAUGAUGACCGAAUGAGAAUCAUUGGAGCUAAGGUGCUUAGGGGUUGAGAGUUAAAAUGUUUUGCAGGCAGCGAGAAUCAAGUCUCAGUUCAUGUUCAAGGUGCGUAGAGUCCUCCAAGGCCUUAUAUGUUUUAAGGCGGGCAUAUGGAUUCUCCAAGUGUAUUUAAGUCCUUCCUAAUUAAGUAAUGGGUUGUAUUAUUUGUUUCUAGAGUUUUUUUUCUUCUUUUGGUUAUCAUUUAUGGAUUAUAUAUCCUUGUUGAGUUGGUGUCACUCCAAGGAUGUUUUGGGAAAUGUUAUAUGCUGGAAUGAUGUAAUAGCAGGUGAAAGAAAAUCUGACGUAAUUUCCUAAAUAGUAUUUUAGGUCGUCCAUAUUUAGGGGAAGUGCUACCGAAUUUUUUUUAAUAACUAAUUAAGUUUAAGGGUCUUGAUUAGUGUCUUUGAGAUAGGCUAAACCGUGAUUAAAUCCUUGAAGUUGUUUGAAGAUUUAAAGUUUCUUUAGCA
Spinacia oleracea (spinach) is the source of this 1166-nucleotide long non-coding RNA. RefSeq lists it as uncharacterized. The transcript has 3 exons. The record is from RefSeq and is a predicted model, not a curated record. Lineage: Eukaryota; Viridiplantae; Streptophyta; Magnoliopsida; Caryophyllales; Amaranthaceae.